GAUCAUGGCUCCGGAUGAACGCUGGCGGCGUGCUUAACACAUGCAAGUCGAACGGAGUUUACAUGAAACCUAGUGAUUGUAAACUUAGUGGCGGACGGGUGAGUAACGCGUGGGUAACCUGCCUUGUACUGGGGGACAACAGUUGGAAACGACUGCUAAUACCGCAUAAGCGCACAGCUUCGCAUGAAGCAGUGUGAAAAACUGAGGUGGUACAAGAUGGACCCGCGUCUGAUUAGCUAGUUGG
RNAcentral lists this ribosomal RNA (244 nucleotides) under uncultured bacterium. Its description in RNAcentral is "partial 16S ribosomal RNA". It matches the Rfam family "Bacterial small subunit ribosomal RNA", at positions 15 to 252 of the family's 1533-position model. The record is from RNAcentral.